AUGGCGCCAGCACCACAGCAAGAAGCUUCUCGGAAGCUCAACGUAGUGGAGAGCGCCGUCGUAGCGCCCUGGCCGAUCCCUCCGGUGCCGGAGACCUCCCUCCCGCUCACCUUCUUCGAUGUCUUCUGGCUCAACUUCCCGCCGGUGGAGCGCGUCUUUUUCUACCACCUCGUCCCCGGCCCCGGCGCCGCCACUACCGCCACCAUCCUCUCCAACCUCAAGACCUCACUCGCCCAAGCCCUCCGCGCCUUCUACCCGCUCGCCGGCCGCCUGCGCCUCAGGCCCGGCACCACCGACCGCCACGAGCUCCACUACCAGCCCGGUGACGGCGUCACCUUCACCGUCGCCAUGUACGACCUCGACGUCGACGAGCUGGCCCUGGACGAGCCGAGGGAGGUCGCCAAGAUCGCACAGCUCGUGCCGCCUCUCCCGGACGGCGGCGCGGUGCUCGCCCUGCAAGCCACCGUGCUGCGCGGCGGCCGCGGCCUCUCCGUCGGCAUGGCCCUGCAUCACGCUGCCUGCGACGGGGCAUGCUCCACCCAUUUCCUCCACACCUGGGCGGCGGCCAGCGCCGGCGCCGUCGCGCCGGCGCCCCCUGUCAUUGACAGAACUCUCGUCAAGGACCCAAGUGGUCUUUGCGACGCCUUCAUUAGAGCCAUGGCGAGUACCGAGAAGAAGGAUUACGUCAAGAUGCCCGGCGAUAAGCUCCUCGCCACCUUCACUCUGUCCAUAGAAGACAUACAACGCAUCAAGGACGUCGUCCUGCUCGCCGCGGCUGGCAAGGCGGGCGCGCCGCCGCGAUGCUCCUCGCUGGUUGCCACCUUCGGCUUCAUCUGGUCAUGCCACCAGCGGGCUAAAGAUGACAAAGCAAGUAACGGAGGCGGCGGCGACCCGACCUACUUCAUCUUCCCCGUCGACCACCGCUCGCGGAUGGAGCCUGCUCCCAUUCCGGACGAGUACCUCGGCAACUGCGUCGGCGCCGCCCUGCAGGGCGCGCCCAAGGACCGACUCGCCAUGCCCGGCGCUGUUGGCCUCGUCACCGCGUGCACGGCGGUUGCUGCGGCGAUCGAGCAGGCGGUGGGCGUCGGCAGCAUUCGGUCACCGGAGCUGUGGUGGGAGCGGAUAAGGGAGGCCAUAUUAUCCGGCGGCGGCGUGCUGACCGUGGCAGGGUCGCCGAAGUUCCGGGUCUACGACGUCGACUUUGGGUUCGGGCAGCCGGCCAAAGUGGAGAUCGUAUCCGUGGCGAGGACUGGCGCCCUGGCGGUGGCGGAGAGCCGCCGGAGCAGCGGCGGAAUUGAGGUGGGCAUAUCUCUGCCAGCGGAUGCCAUGCGGAGGUUCCAAUGCUGCUUCCACGAUGCCAUCGCUUGGCUGCAGUGCACAACACCAUUAAACAAGUAG
This 1398-nucleotide ribosomal RNA is filed under the name Triticum aestivum (bread wheat). Its description in RNAcentral is "partial small subunit ribosomal RNA". Lineage: Eukaryota; Viridiplantae; Streptophyta; Magnoliopsida; Poales; Poaceae. The record is from RNAcentral.